UACGGAGGGUGCAAGCGUUGCUCGGAAUUAUUGGGCGUAAAGGGUAGGUAGGUGGUCUCAUUUGUCUGGGGUGAAAGCCUUGAGCUUAACUCAAGAAGUGCCCCAGAAACGGUGAGACUAGAGUCCUGGAGAGGGUCGUGGAAUUCCCGGUGUAGCGGUGAAAUGCGUAGAGAUCGGGAGGAACACCAGAGGCGAAAGCGGCGACCUGGACAGGCACUGACACUCAACUACGAAAGCGUGGGGAGCAAACAGG
This 253-nucleotide ribosomal RNA is filed under the name uncultured bacterium. RNAcentral's name for it is "partial 16S ribosomal RNA". It matches the Rfam family "Bacterial small subunit ribosomal RNA", at positions 524 to 776 of the family's 1533-position model. The record is from RNAcentral.